This 309-nucleotide long non-coding RNA is filed under the name Bos taurus (domestic cattle). Its description in RNAcentral is "long non-coding RNA NONBTAT008230". The record is from RNAcentral. Lineage: Eukaryota; Metazoa; Chordata; Mammalia; Artiodactyla; Bovidae.
GUUUUAGAAUGGUCCUAGUUUGUAGGUUUACAUUUCUGUUGAUUUAAGAGCAUAGUGUUAAUAUACGACGUGCUUGGUGAUGGAUAAGGUUUUAUCUUAAAGGAUCUGAAGACUUUCUGGCUUUUGUGAAGUUUCUGAAAAAAAUAGCAUAAUGUGAAGUCAUAAAUAUUGAAUCCUAACGGAUUCCUUUUGAAUUGUCAGAUUGUCAAUUGACAGUUGUCAUCUAUAAGUGGUUCAAACAGCUGUGGAGGUAUUCCAUUUAAUUCUGUAUUAUUGUUAUUCUUAGAGGCCAGUAUUGCACUUGAUGCA